Molecule: ribosomal RNA, 305 nt
Filed under: uncultured bacterium
Lineage: Bacteria
Description: bacterial SSU rRNA
Rfam family: Bacterial small subunit ribosomal RNA
Source: RNAcentral
ACCCUACGGGGCGCAGCAGUGGGGAAUAUUGCACAAUGGGGGAAACCCUGAUGCAGCGACGCCGCGUGAAGGAAGAAGUAUUUCGGUAUGUAAACUUCUAUCAGCAGGGAAGAAAAUGACGGUACCUGACUAAGAAGCCCCGGCUAACUACGUGCCAGCAGCCGCGGUAAUACGUAGGGGGCAAGCGUUAUCCGGAUUUACUGGGUGUAAAGGGAGCGUAGGCGGCGAUGCAAGUCAGAAGUGAAAGCCCGGGGCUUAACUCCGGGACUGCUUUUGAAACUGGGUUGCUAGAUUGCAGGAGAGGG